RNAcentral lists this ribosomal RNA (450 nucleotides) under uncultured Cellulomonas sp. RNAcentral describes it as "bacterial SSU rRNA". It matches the Rfam family "Bacterial small subunit ribosomal RNA", at positions 927 to 1382 of the family's 1533-position model. The record is from RNAcentral. Lineage: Bacteria; Bacillati; Actinomycetota; Actinomycetes; Micrococcales; Cellulomonadaceae.
AAGCGGCGGAGCAUGCGGAUUAAUCGAUGCAACGACGAACGAACCUUACCAAGGCUUGACAUACACGUAACGCCAGAGAUGGUGCCCCUUGUGGUCGGUGUACAGGUGGUGCAUGGUUGUCGUCAGCUCGUGUCGUGAGAUGUUGGGUUAAGUCCCGCAACGAGCGCAACCCUCGUCCUAUGUUGCCAGCGGGUCAUGCCGGGGACUCAUGGGAGACUGCCGGGGUCAACUCGGAGGAAGGUGGGAUGACGUCAAAUCAUCAUGCCCCUUAUGUCUUGGGCUUCACGCAUGCUACAAUGGCCGGUACAAAGGGCUGCGAUACCGCGAGGUGGAGCGAAUCCCAGAAAGCCGGUCUCAGUUCGGAUUGGGGUCUGCAACUCGACCCCAUGAAGUCAGAGUCGCUAGUAAUCGCAGAUCAGCAACGCUGCGGUGAAUACGUUCCCGGGCCUU